Molecule: ribosomal RNA, 253 nt
Filed under: uncultured prokaryote
Description: partial 16S ribosomal RNA
Rfam family: Bacterial small subunit ribosomal RNA
Source: RNAcentral
GACAGAGGGGGCAAGCGUUGCUCGGAAUCACUGGGCGUAAAGGGCGCGUAGGCGGGAUGGCAAGUCGGUCGUGAAAUCCUUCGGCUCAACCGAAGAACGUCGGCCGAUACUGCCGUUCUUGAGGGAUGCAGAGGAGAUUGGAAUUCCCGGUGUAGCGGUGAAAUGUGUAGAGAUCGGGAGGAAUACCGGUGGCGAAAGCGACUCUCUGGACGGCAACUGACGCUGAGGCACGAAAGCGUGGGGAGCAAACAGG